GCCGGGAUGGCGGAACUGGCAGACGCACGGGACUUAAAAUCCCGCGACCGUAAGGUUAUGAGGGUCCGACCCCCUCUCCCGGCACCA
RNAcentral lists this transfer RNA (87 nucleotides) under Candidatus Omnitrophota bacterium. RNAcentral's name for it is "tRNA-Leu". It matches the Rfam family "tRNA". Rfam says of the family: Transfer RNA (tRNA) molecules are approximately 80 nucleotides in length. The record is from RNAcentral. Lineage: Bacteria; Pseudomonadati; Candidatus Omnitrophota.